RNAcentral lists this non-coding RNA (785 nucleotides) under Scirtidae sp. BMNH 1274304. Lineage: Eukaryota; Metazoa; Arthropoda; Insecta; Coleoptera; Scirtidae. The record is from RNAcentral.
AUAUAGUUUGUAUAUUGAAUUGUUAUUAAAAGUUUGAUUUUAGCUUGAAAUUUUAGUGUAAAAUUUAUUUAUAUGUAAGUUAUAGCAUGGUAAUUUAGAUAAUAUAUAUAUAUAUAGCAGUAAUUAAUUUUAAGAAUAAAAGUAAUUUUGACUUAGAAAUUUUUAAAAGAUUAAACUAAUUUUGUGCCAGCAGUUGCGGUUAAACAAAAUAAUCAAUUAAAAUUUAUUAAUUAAUAAUAAAUUAUUAUAAGAUAAUUAUAAAUUAACUUUAUUAGGUGAAAUUUUAAAUUUAAUUAAAAUUAUUUAUUUAAAAUUAUUUAUGAAAUUUUUAGAAUAAACUAGGAUUAGAUACCCUAUUAUAAAAAAUUUAAAUUUAAUGAUUGAUUAGUAUUAGUUAUGUUCUUGAAAAUUAAAAAAUUUGGCGGUAUUUUAGUCUAUUCAGAGGAACCUGUUUUAUAAAUGAUAUUCCACGAUUAAAUUGUCUUAUUUUAUUAGUUUGUAUAUCGUCGUUAUUGAAUAUUUUUUAAGAAUUAGAAUAUUCGAGAGGUUUUAAAAAAAAUUAAAUCAGAUCAAGAUGCAGCGUAUAAAUAAGAUUUAAUGGGUUACAAUAAAUAUAUUUAUGGAUUAUAUUUUGAAAUAAAUAUAUGAAAUUGGAUUUGAAAGUAAUUUUAUUUAUUUUAAUAAAAUGAUUAUAGCUCUAAAAUAUGUACAUAUCGCCCGUCGCUUUCAGAUAAAAUGAAAUAAGUCGUAACAAAGUAAGUGUACUGGAAAGUGUACUUAGAAAG